ACCUACGGGAGGCAGCAGUAGGGAAUCUUCCACAAUGGGCGAAAGCCUGAUGGAGCAAGGCCGCGUGGGUGAAGAAGGUCUUCGGAUCGUAAAACCCUGUUGUUAGAGAAGAAAGUGCGUGAGAGUAACUGUUCACGUUUCGACGGUAUCUAACCAGAAAGCCACGGCUAACUACGUGCCAGCAGCCGCGGUAAUACGUAGGUGGCAAGCGUUAUCCGGAUUUAUUGGGCGUAAAGGGAACGCAGGCGGUCUUUUAAGUCUGAUGUGAAGGCCUUCGGCUUAACCGGAGUAGUGCAUUGGAAACU
RNAcentral lists this ribosomal RNA (305 nucleotides) under uncultured bacterium. RNAcentral describes it as "bacterial SSU rRNA". It matches the Rfam family "Bacterial small subunit ribosomal RNA", at positions 337 to 634 of the family's 1533-position model. The record is from RNAcentral.